GCCCCCAUAGCUCAACGGAUAGAGCGGCGGCCUCCGGAGCCGUAGAUCUGGGUUCGAGUCCUAGUGGGGGUACCA
Molecule: transfer RNA, 75 nt
Filed under: Planctomycetota bacterium
Lineage: Bacteria; Pseudomonadati; Planctomycetota
Description: tRNA-Arg
Rfam family: tRNA
About the family: Transfer RNA (tRNA) molecules are approximately 80 nucleotides in length.
Source: RNAcentral